Bactrocera oleae (olive fruit fly) is the source of this 754-nucleotide non-coding RNA. NCBI's taxonomy places the organism in Eukaryota, Metazoa, Arthropoda, Insecta, Diptera, Tephritidae. The record is from RefSeq and is a predicted model, not a curated record.
ACACAGACCAUCGCUGCUACGUUUCGUUUGUGAGUGUUGUCCAUUAAACAGCUAUUAAAAUUUGCAUACGAGUAAGAAUUGGUAUAGGCUUAUUAAUUUAUGUACGCAUAGGUGCAAGCAAGCCAUUGUCACUUUUGAAGAGGGCGCGCCCCCUUGAAGAAACAAUAACGAUCGGAAUUGCGAGCGCAAACUAUGAGCAGACCAUAUUUACGGAGAACAUUUCAUCAAAAGAGCAAGAGUUGAAAAUAAAUUUUUUUGUUCUCGCUAGAUACCAUAACGACGUAGUAUAUCAUAGAAGUACAUAUGUGGAUAAAUUCUCAACUGAAUACUGAUGACACACCUCGGGUGACAGCCUUAAAAAUGGCGAUUUUAGCGAAUUAAAAAAACGACUAAAUUUUUGGAAGAAAUAGUUUAACAUUUUUCGAGUUUCGAGUUGGCACUAAAACAUAUUCACUUAUUCCGCUUUACUCCGUGGAUGAAACCUGAAACAAAUUCUCUACUACAAAAUAUUGUCGCUACAAUGACUUACGGUCGAAAAAAAUCAGAAAUUGAGAACAUGAAAAUGCGAAUGAAAAACAAAUUUUAAUUUACCCAAAAUUUUAUUUGUUUUUGGCAUGCUUUUAAUCAGAUCAUAAAACUGGUAAGUCAUGGAUGAAAUAUGAAAAACUACAUAUAUAUAGAAUAUGUAGACUCCGGGUAAUAAAUGCAACAAAUUCGAAUAAUACUGUUUCGAUAAAAACAUGUUUAAAGAUAA